Molecule: long non-coding RNA, 302 nt
Filed under: Nicotiana benthamiana
Lineage: Eukaryota; Viridiplantae; Streptophyta; Magnoliopsida; Solanales; Solanaceae
Description: long non-coding RNA (NBEN_LNC022170)
Source: RNAcentral
UGAUUGCGUUGCUCGGUACCUUCCCUGGUUACUGGUUCACAGUAUUCUUCAUUGAGAAAAUCGGCAGGUUUAAGAUACAAUUGAUGGGGUUCUUUAUGAUGUCAAUUUUCAUGGCAAUCAUUGGGAUCAAAUAUGAUUACCUAAAGACUAAAGAUCCAUGAUGUCAGUUUUCAUGGCAAUCAUUGGGAUCAAAUAUGAUUACCUAAAGACUAAAGAUCACAAAUGGACAUUCGCAGCUCUUUAUGGCUUAACUUUCUUCUUUGCCAACUUUGGACCCAAUUCGACAACUUUUGUGCUCCCCG